Molecule: long non-coding RNA, 862 nt
Organism: Cygnus atratus (black swan)
Lineage: Eukaryota; Metazoa; Chordata; Aves; Anseriformes; Anatidae
Exons: 5
Source: RefSeq, a predicted model, not a curated record
CCCGACGGCGAAGGAGGCCGUAGCCGUGAGGGGCGCGAACCACCCGCGCUAACGGCCGGUCACAGGGCGAUGGGGCAGGGCGGCGGAGCCCCCCGAGGGAGCGGCUGUGGGAGCUGCGGGGAGCUGUGCCUUGCCCUCACCUCGCGGGCGCGCUGGCAAAGUACAAAUAAAGCGUAUUUGCCCUCACGGGGAAUUAAAAGGCCUUUUCGUCACGCUUUCGCUGGGAUUUCCUGAAGAGAGAUGCUAACGUGAAACUCCGGGACCUCGCUGAGGGCUGGAAUGAGCCCCGGUAUCGGUGGUGGGCGGCUUUGCCUGGGCUCCCGCAUCCACCCAGCCGCCAGGUGCAGAUCCAGUUUGGUGAAACUCGGCGCGCUGAAGAGUGUUCGAAGCUUGAAGCUGACCACUGCAAAGGCCACUUGUCACAUUUACUGAAAAUCAGCCUAUUGAUAUCACAGCUGAAAAUAUAAACUCGACAACCAAAGCCCAUUGCACAACGUGGACUGCGUAAGAGUUAAAAAUAGAUGCGACGUGCCUCCUACCUGCAUAAUAAAUAUUCCCUCAAAAUCCUGAGCAGUAUUGACAAACCACACAAGCACAGGGUCUGACUGCAUGAUCAGCUGUCUGUGUCUACGCUACACCCUGUUAACCACAAGCAGUGUUAGAGCUAAAUAUAUCUGCAAUGCAGAAACGAAAGCAAGACUUGGCAAUCAGCUGAUGACUCUUCUCCCUACCAAUCUUGUGAGCAACACUUGCAGAGGGAUCGUGGUAAAAAGAAACCGUAAAGAGCAGCGGCUCUUUACCACACGAUUCACCGAGCACGUCCACAAACCACAACAGGGCCCGCGGCUCACAAGGCCCGGGG